Long non-coding RNA from Tripterygium wilfordii, 457 nucleotides. RefSeq lists it as uncharacterized. NCBI's taxonomy places the organism in Eukaryota, Viridiplantae, Streptophyta, Magnoliopsida, Celastrales, Celastraceae. The transcript has 3 exons. The record is from RefSeq and is a predicted model, not a curated record.
ACUUGCAGUGGAAAAUCUAAAAACGAGACUGAUCUAGAGCAACCCAACUAUUCGAAACGAUGGGUCUUGUCAAUAAUUCACAGGAUGAAAUCCUCAAUUGCUAUUAAUCCUGAAGAGUCUCCAGAGCAUCCGAACAAGUUGAAAGGAAAGAUAUAUGUUCCCUUCUUGCUAGAAGAACCUUGAUGUUUUGGCUAUUUCAUCUUCCAUCAAAGACUACGUAUCUGGUGGAUUCACUGCGUACAACAUACAAAAAAAUUAAGUGUUUAGAGUGUCUAUCCAAGCUAGUCCCCGAUGUCGAUGCACAUGUGGAGUUAGCAACAUCACUGGUUAUGCAUUAUGGGAAUAAGGUCUCAUCACGUGUGUUACAAUCAACCCAUGAAUAUGCUAGAUGACAAUCCUAGUAAGGAGAAUGAGUUGUACUUUUUUUUGGGUUUCCAUAGCAGUGCUUGGAGGAGAG